RNAcentral lists this transfer RNA (74 nucleotides) under Camelus bactrianus (Bactrian camel). It matches the Rfam family "tRNA". Rfam says of the family: Transfer RNA (tRNA) molecules are approximately 80 nucleotides in length. RNAcentral also lists the same sequence under 2 other names. The record is from Rfam by way of RNAcentral. Lineage: Eukaryota; Metazoa; Chordata; Mammalia; Artiodactyla; Camelidae.
GAGGGUAUAGCUCAAAGUGCUUGAGUGCAUGCUUAGCACGCAUGAGGUCCUGGGUUCAAUCCCCAGUACCUCCU